RNAcentral lists this long non-coding RNA (258 nucleotides) under Capsicum annuum. RNAcentral describes it as "long non-coding RNA (CANN_LNC011639)". The record is from RNAcentral. Lineage: Eukaryota; Viridiplantae; Streptophyta; Magnoliopsida; Solanales; Solanaceae.
UUGUCUAUCUAUCAUUGAUUCUCAAGUCCAAUUUUUGGGUUCCCCGAAGCCCCGAAUGGAAUGGAUCGUUUCUGCCAACGAAAUGAACGCGGAGCCCGUUCCGAAUGCUUCUACGAUCCGGAAGUUCUCGCGAAGAGAAUAAGAUGCUGCUCCCCUUCCCUCUUUCUUUUCCCGCUUUGCUAAUCUUCCCCUCUAACGCGGGCCGGGCGGCGACGGGCGCGGGAGGAAGAAACCUAAGAGAAGACGCUCGUCUCGGGC